AACGCAUCUUGCACCCUUUGGCGUUCCUUAGGGUAUGCCUGUUUGAGCGUCUUUAACGACAUCGACUCCACCCUGGAGCGGGGACGCCCCUCCGUUGGACGUCGGACGUGAGCGCUGCCGUGAUUCGUUUCGUCGGCUCGCUCGAAAAGCCUCGAGCUCGAUCUUCAGCGGUCCCGUUCCGUCGGGUUGGCGUGAUAGAGCUCCCACGAGUCGCGAAUCGCCUCUCGACGGACGGACGUGACCUUUGGACGGUCGAGCUUAGAGACGGGCCCACCACGCCUCGGUGGCGCCCCUUGAAUAUGACCUCAAAUCAGGUAGGGCUACCCGCUGAACUUAA
This 337-nucleotide unclassified non-coding RNA is filed under the name uncultured fungus. Its description in RNAcentral is "sequence contains ITS2". The record is from RNAcentral. Lineage: Eukaryota; Fungi.